Molecule: ribosomal RNA, 1493 nt
Filed under: uncultured rumen bacterium
Lineage: Bacteria
Description: bacterial SSU rRNA
Rfam family: Bacterial small subunit ribosomal RNA
Source: RNAcentral
AGAGUUUGAUCAUGGCUCAGGAUGAACGCUAGCUACAGGCCUAACACAUGCAAGUCGAGGGGCAGCAUGGGAGAAGCUUGCUUUUCCCGAUGGCGACCGGCGAAUGGGUGAGUCACGCGUGUCCAACCUGCCCCGUGCCCGGGCACAGCCCUUGGAAAUGAGGAUUAAUGCCCGAUAUGUGCCGUUUCCGCAUGGCGGCGGCAUGAACCGAGGCACGGGAUGGGGACGCGUCGGAUUAGCUUGACGGCGGGGCGACGGCCCACCGUGGCGACGAUCCGCAGGGGUUCUGAGAGGAAGGUCCCCCACACUGGCACUGAGACACGGGCCAGACUCCUACGGGAGGCAGCAGUGAGGAAUAUUGGUCAAUGGCCGAGAGGCUGAACCAGCCAAGUAGCGUGCAGGAUGACGGCCCUACGGGUUGUAAACUGCUUUUGCGGGAGGAUAAAGUGCGCCACGCGUGGCGCUUUGCAGGUAUCCCGUGAAUAAGGACCGGCUAAUUCCGUGCCAGCAGCCGCGGUAAUACGGAAGGUCCGGGCGUUAUCCGGAUUUAUUGGGUUUAAAGGGAGCGCAGGCGGAGGUGCAAGCGUGCCGUGAAAGCGCGGGGCUCAACCCCGUACAGCGGCGCGAACUGCUCCCCUUGGUUGCGGGAAGGGAAGGCGGAACUCGUGGUGUAGCGGUGAAAUGCAUAGAUAUCACGAAGAACUCCGAUUGCGAAAGGCAGCUGGGCGAGGCUACAACUGACGCUAAAGCUCGAAGGUGCGGGAAUCGAACAGGAUUAAGAUACCCYUGGGUAGUCCCGCACGGUAAACGAAUGAUGCCCGCUGUAUGCGAUAUAAUGUAUGCGGCCAAGCGAAAGCGUUAAGCAUCCCACCUGGGGAGUACGCCGGCAACGGUGAAACUCAAAGGAAUUGACGGGGGCCCGCACAAGCGGAGGAACAUGUGGUUUAAUUCGAUGAUACGCGAGGAACCUUACCCGGGCUUGAACUGCAGGAGAAGGAUACAGAGAUGUUGACGCCCUUCGGGGCUCCUGUGGAGGUGCUGCAUGGUUAUCGUCAGCUCGUGCCGUGAGGUGUCGGCUUAAGUGCCAUAACGAGCGCAACCCUUGCUGUCAGUUGCCAUCAGGUAAUGCUGGGCACUCUGGCGGUACUGCCACCGUAAGGUGUGAGGAAGGUGGGGAUGACGUCAAAUCAGCACGGCCCUUACGUCCGGGGCUACACACGUGUUACAAUGGGUGGUACAGAGAGUCAGCCGCCGGCAACGUCGGUUCAAUCUUGAAAGCCAUCCUCAGUUCGGACUGGGGUCUGCAACCCGACCCCACGAAGCUGGAUUCGCUAGUAAUCGCGCAUCAGCCAUGGCGCGGUGAAUACGUUCCCGGGCCUUGUACACACCGCCCGUCAAGCCAUGAAAGCCUGGGGCGCCUGAAGUCCGUGACCGCGAGGGUCGGCCUAGGGUGAAACAGGUGAUUGGGGCUAAGUCGUAACAAGGUAGCCGUA